UAGUCAGUACAGUAAAAUAGGUAGUUAAAUUAGUCAACAAAAUAGAAUAAUAUAUAGGCUGUAUACAGUACUUAUAUAGACAUACAUAUAUACAUAUCUCAAAUGUCUCAAAUAUGUUUACCUGAAGACACGUUUUGUGUCUUUAAGAAGUAUACUGAUAUACUCAAGAACUUUAACUCAUUCUUCCAGUCGUUCAAACUGGGCUUAGUUCAAGGCAACUAUACAAUAAAAAACGCUUCCUUGGUUUAGUCGUAGUAUCUGCGUUCAUGUGUGAGAAAAUCUUCCCCAAGAUCAAGACAACAUUGUGAAUACAGUCCAAGUUUCUUGUUUUUAUCACAAACACCAAAUUUGACAGAAUUAACUGUCAAGGCUGACAAAACUUUUUUCCGUCAAUUCUGACACUACAUGAACACGGUGGCAGCGUCCUUACGAGCUAACCAGUCAGGACACGGCUUAAAUGUCCACAGUCAGUCUCAUCCAAUGGCAUCACAGCUUGUUGCGGCUGCAGCGUUGCCAACGACAACGGGUACUGCGUUCAUCUGUCGCUGAGUGUUUCAGAGACCUUGCCUAACGUUCACUAAUAUUCGCGUUAUUAAAAUAGUUUUUAAUUCCGGUUUCACAACAUAAACAGACGGAUACUCACUUCCGGUGUUUUGACGUCGCUCUGUAGCUUUUGUUAAAGCGAAGAAGACAUUUGGCCUGCGAAUAAAUCGUGUUAGCCAAUUAGCUUGCUAGCUAACGUUAGCACAUAGAGCUAAUCUCAUUGCUUUAGUCUCUCUUCGCCUUUAUUGUCGCCUUUAAAUCGGAUGGAAAGUUGUGAACAGCAGAAAGUGGACUGUAACUAAUGACCCCUGUAGUUUUUUGACCUGAUAACCUACGUGGAGGAACUGCUCCAUACUUUCCUCCUCUAAGAGAAGACACCCAGUGAAGACAGACGAUGGAGAUCCAUCUUAAUCGAGUGGAUUAUAUUCAAGUAACACCAAGUACAGACGGUGGUGUGUUUGGUUUAUGAUGCUCUUUUAUGUCUUUAAUUCUGACAUUGAAUUUUGACUGUCAAUUGUUGUUAUAAUACAGUUAAAUCAGAUUCAGUGUGAUUGCCAUGACACUGAGUACAGUUUAGCAUCUAACCAGAAGUGCAAAGAGCAGGAAGAUGUGCCUCAGCAGUAUCGCCUUCAUCAGCUGCCUCGCCCCCACAGGUGUCUGAUCACACUACCUGAAAGAUUUGUUUUCUUUAUGUUUUGUUUUUUCCACCAUUUAGGAUGUGACUUAAACUUUGAUGGGGACAGACAUUGCCAUCAACUGAAGGAACUGUUUAUUGAAUGUCAACUUUACAGCCUGUGCUCCAGCUUCUCCGUAUGUUUGAGUACAGGUGAAGAGCAGCCAGUAACGCACUGAAGUCUCAUGGUGAUAUUUGUUUUCCCAUCUUCUUAAUGUGAAGCGGUGGACACCCCUCACUUUGUCCCGUUCACUGAACGCAGCACAGUAGACAUCAACUGUGAUCUGUAUGUAUCGGCUGUUAUUAUUUUUUCCUCAUAUGUCCUUAUUUAUUCAUGAAAAUCUCUUAUUCUGUGAUGAAACAUUAACAUUUUGAGAUUAGUAACUUAAAUUAAAAUCUGCUUAUACAUGAUUAAUAAUAUUCUUUUUUUAAAUGAUCAUGUUGUGCUUGGGUGGAUGGAGGAUGGGGUUUGUUCGCAGUUUAAGGUAAGGUAAGGUAAACUUUAUUGUCCCCUAAGGGAAAUUCAUCUUGGGCACAGUGCUACAUUUCAUUGCUUCACAGGACAAGAUAAAAAUAUCAUCACAGGGACACAUCAUCACAAUGACAGUUCUAUCACAUAAAACAGACAUGGACUACAUUUAACAAUCACAUCACAGAAACAUACAGAGACGUCUAAAGUUCUACGUGGUCCAAUUUAUUUUUUAUGUUCAACACAUCUGAUGCUCUGAUUUGUCUAAAUGCCUAACUUUAAAUGUAUGUAUCAAUGCCAUCGACCCUUUCUUCUUGCUUGAUGCAUGCUCUGAUUUUUUUUCCUGCCAUGUUUAAUGUGUUUAUUUACCUCCAGACAAAUGACAUUUUUAUGACAAGAAUAAAAUGAUCUUUUAAUGAAACCAAUAAAAUAUUAAAGAACAGGAA
This is a long non-coding RNA of Epinephelus fuscoguttatus (brown-marbled grouper), 2131 nucleotides long. RefSeq lists it as uncharacterized. NCBI's taxonomy places the organism in Eukaryota, Metazoa, Chordata, Actinopteri, Perciformes, Serranidae. The transcript is spliced from 2 exons. The record is from RefSeq and is a predicted model, not a curated record.